CUGGCACCGCUCCCUCCGAGCUGCGGGCAGGGCCCGGCCCUGGCAGCACAACAAGGGAAUUCUGCUUUCUCCCGAAUUCCGGGGCUGGCAGGGACAGCGCCCGGCUGUGCCGCCGCUUCGGGGACCCUCCGGCCUGGUGGCACCUCUGGGCUGCCUUUCACUGGUCCAGGGGCAACCUUGGGGCUGGGAUCCAGGCCCCGUUUCCAGAACUCCGGGAUCUGCCCCGGGAUGUGUCACGUCCGAGACCUCCAGGACUUUCGACGUGUAUCAUCCUUGGGAGCGGCUGGAGCUGAUACGGCGUCGCCUGGAGGAGGCUGUGGAUUCCUGAGUGGCCUGGCAGAUAAGAGGGAUAAAUAUCCCCUGACCCCACAGACCCCCUCAGCAGCUCCCAAAUCCCCAUGGGGGACGUGCCCUGGGGUUACUGAUUGAAGGGGAUCACUGGAAUCAGCCAUAAAACACCAUUAUUGAGCCAUAAACAGGGGAAUGCUGUUAAUUAUGCAAUUUAUUCCCUUUUAUUAGUUAAUUACCCUCCCUAACCCUGGUUUUCCCAGCAAUCCUUAGCCCCUGAUCCAUUUUUUACAUGGAUCUGUGAAGGUCAGUGAUGCCUCAAGCCCCCCCAGCAGAUUCUAACCAUCACACAACCAUCCCUUUUUCCAUAAAACCUGAACUUUUCUAUCAGCCUCCCCCCCGCCCAAAUUCAGGAUCCUUUGAGUUCUUAUGAAUGUUUAGGAAUCAGCCAGGUGGGAUUUUGUGGCAUUUUGAGCCAAAAACAGGUUUGUGAUGAUCCUGGCACUUUCUGGGACUGCCUUUCACCGCUGCAUCCUUCUCUGUUUCCCCCAUUUUUCCACAUUCUAUCCCUAAACAAAGGAAAAUCCUUUUUUAGUGUAUAUUAUUCUGUAUUGACAGCACUGAUCUAGACAACAGGGGGGGUGCAGCCAGGACUUUUUUUUAAGGGCUGGGAUAGGGAUUGCUGAUGGUGCUGCCUGGAACCUGCAGCAAUUCCCUGGGGAAAUUACAGCUGGAAUUUGGGCUGGUUGUGACUCUGGGAUAAUAACAGCAACAGGAAUUUGCCCU
This 1074-nucleotide long non-coding RNA is filed under the name Cyanistes caeruleus (blue tit). RNAcentral's name for it is "lncRNA (ENSCCEG00000022528.1)". The record is from RNAcentral. Lineage: Eukaryota; Metazoa; Chordata; Aves; Passeriformes; Paridae.